UUUACAAUGUGAACAUCGUAAUUCGGAUGCCUACGUUUUGUGUAUACACGAUAUAGUAUACAGAUGUCAACAGUCUGCUGUGGUCAGCUGUUUUAAGUUAUUAAGUUUCUAGUGCAGUAUUUAUAACAAUAGGAGCCAAUAAUAUGGCAAAAAUGCCGCGAAUCUGUGCAGCUUUGAAUUGUGAUAACUCUACUGAAAAAGGCUUUCGCCCAUUUCGAUUUCCGAAAUCGGAAAGCCAAAGAAAGGCCUAGUUAAAAACCAGUGGUCUUGAUGUCCUGUUUGAAGCUGAAAGAUGGUCUCCACAUUCUAAAUCGUGUCUAUGUGAUGUACAUUUUAGAACAGAUUGUUUUGUGCCUGCGGGUUAGGGAAAGAUAAGGUUGAAAAAGAUUAACAUUCCCAUUAUAUUUUCCAAUUAUGAAUUAUGCGUUGAAACUCCGACUCCACCCAAGCAAAAAGUAGACAGUCAUAUUUGAAAAAAUAGAUUGAACUCAAUAUCACUAAUGGAGUGGAAAACCAAGAAAAUAUCCCAAAAGGGAUUAAAUAAAUGGAUCAGUCACAUCCAGAAAAAUCGAAGUCCCGAAUAAUGGAAAAUAGUUUGAAGAAUCUUGUUCAAAAUAUUGUAAUACAAACUGAUUGUCCACAAACAUAAGGGUGUAAUAAAAGGGGAAAAGUUAUUUUCGAUAAAGACUGGAAUAAUACGGACCAAAAAGAUUCAAAACUGUUGGACAAUGCAGCACGUUGAAAAUUCUGAACCCUGUCAUGUCGAAGACAGCACUCUGGAAUCUUGCCUCGAAGAAGGAGUUCAGCAACCAUGCUUUGAAAUACUGAAAGUCCCAUUCUCUGAAGAUGAUAUUGAGAAAGAGAUAAACGUCAUGCUGGAUUCUGGCACCGAUUUGAUCAAUGAAGUUAAAGAAGCAUUGAAGGAUGAUCCUAAGCUUUAGACGUCGUCGUUUAAACUCAGUUUUAAAUAAGGAUCAAAUUAAAGUUCUAAAUGGAACGUACAAAGAAAUUCCAAAAUGGGCUAACAACACAGUAGUGAAAGUUUUAAAACUGCAUUUUGCUUGCGGAUCUUCUGCUUAUAAAGAACUCUUGAAGCAAAAUAACCCUUUACCAGGACUGAGAAAAUUAAAUAGGAAAACUGAAGGAUUUAAAUUUGAGCCAGGAAUAAGCGAUGAUAUUUUUAAAUUCCUUGAAAUUAAAGUUAGCACCUUUAAAAACUAGGAGGCACAGCAA
This is a long non-coding RNA of Belonocnema kinseyi, 1233 nucleotides long. RefSeq lists it as uncharacterized. NCBI's taxonomy places the organism in Eukaryota, Metazoa, Arthropoda, Insecta, Hymenoptera, Cynipidae. The transcript has 6 exons. The record is from RefSeq and is a predicted model, not a curated record.